UAGCUCGGUUGGUAGAGAAUCUGCCUGCAAUGCAGGAGACCUGGGUUCAAUUCCUGG
Molecule: transfer RNA, 57 nt
Filed under: Bos taurus (domestic cattle)
Lineage: Eukaryota; Metazoa; Chordata; Mammalia; Artiodactyla; Bovidae
Also listed under: 1 other name
Rfam family: tRNA
About the family: Transfer RNA (tRNA) molecules are approximately 80 nucleotides in length. Their secondary structure includes four short double-helical elements and three loops (D, anti-codon, and T loops).
Source: Rfam by way of RNAcentral